GGUAGGAUAGCUGGGUCAAAUGGUAUCUCCAAUCCAAGUUUUCUGAGGAAUCUCUACACUGCUUUCCAGAGUAGUUGUACCAAUUUGCUGUCCCACCAGCAAU
This 103-nucleotide microRNA precursor is filed under the name Marmota monax (woodchuck). Lineage: Eukaryota; Metazoa; Chordata; Mammalia; Rodentia; Sciuridae. The record is from RNAcentral.